UACGUAGGGUGCAGGCGUUAAUCGGAAUUACUGGGCGUAAAGCGUGCGCAGGCGGUCUUUUAAGUCAGAUGUGAAAUCCCCAGGCUUAACUUGGGAACUGCGUCUGAUACUGGAAGGCUUGAGUGCGGGAGAGGGAUGUGGAAUUCCAGGUGUAGCGGUGAAAUGCGUAGAUAUCUGGAGGAACACCGGUGGCGAAGGCGGCAUCCUGGACCGACACUGACGCUGAGGCGCGAAAGCUAGGGGAGCAAACGGG
Molecule: ribosomal RNA, 253 nt
Filed under: uncultured bacterium
Lineage: Bacteria
Description: partial 16S ribosomal RNA
Rfam family: Bacterial small subunit ribosomal RNA
Source: RNAcentral